This 376-nucleotide unclassified non-coding RNA is filed under the name soil metagenome. Its description in RNAcentral is "partial contains 5.8S ribosomal RNA, internal transcribed spacer 2, and large subunit ribosomal RNA". The stretch from base 1 to 120 matches the Rfam family "5.8S ribosomal RNA", at positions 35 to 154 of the family's 154-position model. The record is from RNAcentral.
GAUGAAGAACGUAGCGAAAUGCGAUAAGUAAUGUGAAUUGCAGAAUUCAGUGAAUCAUCGAAUCUUUGAACGCACCUUGCACCCUUUGGCAUUCCGAAGGGUAUGCUCGUUUGAGUGUCAUUGUACUCUCACACUUCCGAUCUUUGGAUUGGGAGCGGUGGACUUGGGUGUUGCUGCUUACUGUGGCUCACCUCAAAUCGAUUCGUGCACCUCUUGGUUGGACAUAGUACGGCGUGAUAAGUGUCUUCGCCGGCACCUCAGUAGAGGGUGGCUGAUCGGGAGCUCUGCUUCAAACCGUCCUCGGACAACAACUGACAACUUGACCUCAAAUCGAGUAGGACUACCCGCUGAACUUAAGCAUAUCAAUAGCGGAGGA